GACGAACGCUGGCGGCGUGCCUAAUACAUGCAAGUGGAACGCAUUGGUAACACCGGACUUGCUCCAGUGUUACUAAUGAGUCGCGAACGGGUGAGUAACGCGUAGGUAACCUGCCUGAUAGCGGGGGAUAACUAUUGGAAACGAUAGCUAAUACCGCAUAAGAGGAGUUAACUCAUGUUAACUGUUUAAAAGAAGCAACGGCUUCACUAUCAGAUGGACCUGCGUUGUAUUAGCUAGUAGGUAGGGUAACGGCCUACCUAGGCACCGAUACAUAGCCGACCUGAGAGGGUGAACGGCCACACUGGGACUGAGACACGGCCCAGACUCCUACGGGAGGCAGCAGUAGGGAAUCUUCGGCAAUGGACGCAAGUCUGACCGAGCAACGCCGCGUGAGUGAAGACGGUUUUCGGAUCGUAAAGCUCUGUUGUAGGGGAAGAACGUGUGUAAGAGUGGAAAGCUUA
This 461-nucleotide ribosomal RNA is filed under the name Streptococcus sobrinus. RNAcentral's name for it is "bacterial SSU rRNA". It matches the Rfam family "Bacterial small subunit ribosomal RNA", at positions 28 to 470 of the family's 1533-position model. Lineage: Bacteria; Bacillati; Bacillota; Bacilli; Lactobacillales; Streptococcaceae. The record is from RNAcentral.